This is a long non-coding RNA of Cicer arietinum (chickpea), 2330 nucleotides long. RefSeq lists it as uncharacterized. Lineage: Eukaryota; Viridiplantae; Streptophyta; Magnoliopsida; Fabales; Fabaceae. The record is from RefSeq and is a predicted model, not a curated record.
UGAAUUCUUGACUCAAAAUAUGGCUUGCAAUAUGAAUUUUUUAUUCAUAUGAAAUGAAAUUGAGAUAGUAUGUUUGGAAUACUUGAAAUUUAAUUAUUCUUGACUCAAAAUGUGGCUUGCAAUAUGAAUUUUUUAUUCGUAUGAAAUAAAAUUAAGAAUUUGAGAUAGGAUGAUUGGAAGACCUGAAAUUUGAUUAUAUGGAUUUUUUUAUUCAUAUGAAAUUGAGAGCAUUUUUGGAUGUCCCAAAAUUUAAUAAUGAGAUAGAUUCUUGACCCUAAAAGUGACAUUCAAUAUGAAUUGCUAUUCAUAUGAAAUUGGGAUUGAAUGACAGUAUUGUGCCUCGAUGACCAUAGAUACAAAUUUGAUAUUUGAGUGUAUAUAAUCCUAAAUUCUUGAUAAAUUAGAAUGAAAAUAUUGUCCCUCAAUGACCUUGGGUGGUGUGAUGAAAUUGGGUGGUCUUGUUGAAGCGGCAUCUUGCAAUGCCUUGUUGACACAGGGAUUGGAAGGCAAAGAGACAUUCAAAAUAUCAUUAAACUGUUGGCAGAGAUGGAAAAAACAAAAAUACGAGUCCAGUGGUAUAACCUUUGGGAUUUUUACUAAUCACAUAUGCAAGGCUAGGAGGAUCGAUGAGGCGUUGGGGGUGUUUGAUAAAUUGGUGUUGAACCUGAUGUGGUUUUGUAUAAUACUUUGAUUGACAAUCUUAGUAAAGUUGGGAGGGUAGAAGAUGGUUUGAGUUUGCUGGCAGAGAUGAAAACGGAGAAGAAAAAUAGGCCAAACACUGUGUCAUAUAAUUGCUUGAUUGAUGAGUUCUGCAAAGCUGAAAGGAAAUGUUGUUACUUAUACUGUGUUGAUAUCUGCAUUCUGUGGUGUGAACAAUAUUGAUAAAAGCCAUGCAUAUAACUUGCUACUAUGUUCUCAUAAGUGGGUUCUGUAAGAAGAAGAAAUUGGUUUCUUACCUUGGCAAAGCUGGAGAUUUUGCAACUACUAGUAAGGUGAUGAAAAAGAUGAUAAAAGAGGGUCUUAAGCCAUCUGUUGUCACAUAUGAGGCAGUUAUACAUUCAUUCAUAUUUUUUAAAGAAGAAUGUUGAUGAGGCCAUGAAGUCACUCUGUUAGUAGUAGGCUUGUGCUAUAAGUUAAAAUGCUUAGCUUUUAAUUGUCUAAGCUCCAAUUUUUCGUACUCUUUUGAGCUCAUUUUCAGACCACAUUAUUUUAGUAAUAUGUUGCGGAAUCACAAUACUUUACUUGGUUAUCAUAUUGAAUAAUUGUUUGAACUUUGAAGGGGUUGAUCAUGAACUUUCUAUUAGGAUACUAUGACACUUUUUUUCCUGUUGAUGAAAUAAUUGAACUAUCUAAGAAUCAGAGGACAAGAUAGUGUGCCAAUUGAGGAAGGCAGCACAAUGGAUUGUGUGACCCUAACAAUUAAAAAUUGAAAUUUUCACAGACCACGUAGCGUGUGGAAGAAGGGAUAUGUGCAAGUUGUGAAGUCCUGAUGUUUGUUAUUGUUAAUAAUUUUUAUUAUAUAGGUGUUUUGCAAUUGAAACUGUGCUUUUCUGUGACAAUCAAUCUACAAUUGCAAAUUCUGUCACUUAAAUUUCAGAUGCAUAUUCAGUUUUUUCUCAAUGCUUUUUUGCUAGCUUUUGUAUUUUAUUUUAUUUUACCCUUGUGUGCUCAAUUGUCUCUUUGGUAUAGGUUCAUGGUGUAUUUUAUACCAGAUCAAAAGUUCUAGUAUUAAUGGUUACUCUGAAUACUGUCUUGGAAUUGAAUUAUGUUGAUUGGUUAAUCUUCCUUUCACUUCCUUUUACAUGUUUCCCUUUUCUUAUGUUAUUUUAUUUUCUUUCUAUUGCUUUUGGUGUGCUGAAAAUGUUUUCCUAUUGCUAUUCUUGAUUAUGCUGAGAGCAAAAUUGGAGUUGAUGAUGAUCAGUGUAUUGUUGUGAACUGGAGUUGAAGGAUGAAAGACUACUGAGACAAAUUCAUCCAAGGAAUUGCAGGACUUCUGAUUUGACGUCUUAUGGUUUAAAACUUUGAUGGCACAGAAAUUUGAAAUAGUCAUUGAGGAUCAAGCUGGAAAAUAGUUCAAGUGUAUGAUCAGUUGAGAAAGCUGAAAUGACAAAAUCAAUGGAUUGAUUUAUUUAGGAAUUUGAUAUAUGAUUACUUGAUUUGCUUGGCAUUGUAAAGACAUCCACAACUGUCUCUUUUUGUUAUAAGUAUUUUAAGAUUCCCUUCAUUAAGUUGCUACAAUUCUUAUUGAAGAGGAAAAAAAUCACCACAACAGAAGUAACUUAUUAAGUUUAUCCGUAAAUAUAAAUUAUGUUAUUACUUUUUUAAUUGAA